Molecule: ribosomal RNA, 253 nt
Filed under: uncultured bacterium
Lineage: Bacteria
Description: partial 16S ribosomal RNA
Rfam family: Bacterial small subunit ribosomal RNA
Source: RNAcentral
UACGGAGGGUGCAAGCAUUAAUCGGAUUUAUUGGGCGUAAAGGGCGCGUAGGCGAGAAUAAAAGUCAGAUGUGAAAUCCUGGGGCUCAACCUCAGAACUGCAUUUGAAACUCUAUUUCUUGAGGGUAGGCGGAGAAAACGGAAUUCCACAAGUAGCGGUGAAAUGCGUAGAUAUGUGGAAGAACACCGGUGGCGAAGGCGGUUUUCUAGCUUAUUCCUGACGCUGAUGCGCGAAAGCAAGGGGAUCAAACAGG